GAGGAAUAUUGGUCAAUGGGCGCGAGCCUGAACCAGCCAAGUAGCGUGCAGGAUGACGGCCCUAUGGGUUGUAAACUGCUUUUGUAUGGGGAUAAAGUUAGGGACGUGUCCCUAUUUGCAGGUACCAUACGAAUAAGGACCGGCUAGUUCCGUGCCAGCAGCCGCGGUAAUACGGAAGGUCCAGGCGUUAUCCGGAUUUAUUGGGUUUAAAGGGAGCGUAGGCUGGAGAUUAAGUGUGUUGUGAAAUGUAGACGCUCAACGUCUGAAUUGCAGCGCAUACUGGUUUCCUUGAGUACGCACAACGUUGGCGGAAUUCGUCGUGUAGCGGUGAAAUGCUUAGAUAUGACGAAGAACUCCGAUUGCGAAGGCAGCUGACGGGAGCGCAACUGACGCUUAAGCUCGAAGGUGCGGGUAUCAAACAGGAUUAGAUACCCUGGUAGUCCGCACAGUAAACGAUGGAUGCCCGCUGUUGGUACCUGGUAUCAGCGGCUAAGCGAAAGCAUUAAGCAUCCCACCUGGGGAGUACGCCGGCAACGGUG
Molecule: ribosomal RNA, 539 nt
Filed under: uncultured bacterium
Lineage: Bacteria
Description: bacterial SSU rRNA
Rfam family: Bacterial small subunit ribosomal RNA
Source: RNAcentral